GCCAUCAGGAGCCAUAAAGUAGCUCAGCCAUCUUCCCAUUAAAAUGGGGAAAACACUCAGGGACACAGGCAAGCUCUCCUUAGAGACCUGCUGUGACCAAGACUCUGGAAACAAGGAGCCCUAGCACCAACUAAGUGUAGUCAAGAUGAGGAGGGCUGGGAGGGUUAGAGGCACUGGGGAAAAGGCUUUGAAGUCUCCUCUUUGAGGGUGUCUCCUCCCUAAGGGCAGCCCCGCUCCCGGUGCUUGGCUCUAGCACAGGCUGAGGUGCAGCUGUGCCUUUGGGAUAAGGACUGUUUUGUUGUCUUCAGUUCACCUCACCUGACCUCAGGAUCUUCAGGGUAACAGCAGAUGAUGAUGAUGAUAAUACUCCGCUGUUUCACAGUGCCACUUCCCGAGACUCCGCGAGCCCUUCAGCAACACUCACUUGUCAAGGCCUGCAAGCCAUCUAAAAACAUAACUUCAUCUUGAACCACCACUUCAAGAUGUUUGGGAAACAACUAAACAAACCCCAGAAUAUUUUCCCGAUAACCUGGUGCAUUAGAAUAGUUGCUGCAAAAUGGAAUUUUAUUGCCUCCCCCACCCUCUCCGAGUGGAAUAACCCAUCUGCCUAAGGAAUGUAGCCCUUCCCAGGUUAUGAGCUCCUGAGAGGAUUGUGUGGUAGAAAAGAAAACAUGGAUUUGAUUAGAUGGAGGCUGAGAGCUUGGCCCCCUGUGGCACCACCACUGCCUGCCUCCCUGGCCCCUGAGCAAGUGGGCACAGGGAGGCAGGGGCUCAGCAGGGAGCUGGGGGAAAACGUGGCAAGCUUUCUGUCUGGGGCUGGUGGGUCUGCCUGCUGUCAUCCCCACGGCGCUGGCAGGACCCUCGGUCGCCUCGGUGUCAGCUCUGCUCUCUCUGCUGGGAGGGGGCAUGAGCUGCCCCUGGUGUGGGUCUGGGGUGUAGACAGCUGGGAAGGGGGGAAGAGUGAGGGGAAGGAGGGCUGUAGGUCGGAAGA
Long non-coding RNA from Hirundo rustica (Barn swallow), 991 nucleotides. RefSeq lists it as uncharacterized. The record is from RefSeq and is a predicted model, not a curated record. Lineage: Eukaryota; Metazoa; Chordata; Aves; Passeriformes; Hirundinidae. The transcript has 3 exons.